CUCUGCUCCUAUCUUGUAUUGAUUAAUGGACUUUUGAGCUUGAAUACUGUUCGUUAUCUCCAUAUAUUUCAUGUUUAUACAUCCUUGUUCCCAGAACUUCCCUUAUAUUUUAUGCAUUAGCCUUUAAUCAUGAUCUUUUGGAAGGUAAUUGGUUUUGUCCUGUGGAUGUGUAAAAUGGUUUCAAAAUUUGCAUUUCCAAUUAGAUGGCAAAUAGGGGCAGGAAAAAAAUGACCUCUCCCUAACCCAUAGGGUCAUGAUUUGUACAAACUUGAAUCUACACUUCUUGAGAUGUUUCCAUAUUAAUCAUGCUCUUGUUGUUCUUGAAAAGAAGAAUUUUGAAGAUUUUUUUCCUUUUAUUCCUGUAUAAAACUUUAAUCCCUUAUUGUGGCCUGACCUUACCCUCGGAGGUCAUGAUUUGAAAACUAGAAAUAUGUCCAUAGGACAUGAAUGCCCCGCCGAAUUUAUAUUACUAAUGCAACAUGAAAAUUUGUAUGAGUGUAUGAAGUUUGAUUAGAAUAUCUUGAACAAUUUCUUUAAAAUUGAAACUAAAAUCUAAAAAAAAAGUUGGAUAUAGACGAUAAAUUCUCACCAAAUUAUGUAUAAAUGCAUGCUUACAUAAAAAUAUCUUAAAUUGUUUCUUUAAAACUAAGCAAAAUACAAAUUAAAGAGAAGGGAGGUCAAGGUCACAGAAAAGUGCAAGGUGAGACGUUUUUGACGCAGUUGAAUAGCUUUACUAAUACAUAUCAGCAUAUUAGGUUUGAUAAAAAUAUCUUGAAUGAUUUAUUUAAAACUACAUAACACUUAUUUAAGAAAAAAGAGGUCAGGGUCAAAGGAAAGGUUGAGGUCAAAAUGUUGAUGCAGUUGAAAAGCUUACAUCAGUAUGUAUUUACUUUUUGCAUAUGAAGUUUGAAAAAAAUAUCAUAAAUGGUUUAUCUAGAAACUAGAUAAACACUAAUUUAAAAAAGUGAGGUCAAGGUCAAAGAAAAAGUCAAGGUAAAAAAAAGUUGAUGCAAUUGAUAGCUGUCAGCAGUAUGUAUCAGCAUAUGAAGUUUGAUAAAUAUAUCUUGAAUUGUUUAUUCGAAACUGAUCUAGACACUAAUUUAAGAAAAGUGAUGUCAAGGUCAAAGGAAUGGUCAAGGUCAAAAAGGUUGAUGCAUGCGCAGUUGAAAAGCUUACAUCAGUAUGUAUCAGCAUAUGAAGUUUGAUUACAGUAACUUGAAUGAUUUCAUUAAAAUUAAGCUAAACACUAUAUCAAAGAAAAGUGAAGUCAAGGUCAAAGGAAAAGUCAAGGUCAAAAACGUUGAUGCAGUUGAAAAGCUUACAUCAGUAUGCAUCAACAUAUGAAGUUUGAUUACACUAUCUUUAAUGUUAUCUUUAAAACUGAGCUAAAACUAGUUUAAGAAAAGUGAGGUCAAGGUCAAAGGAAAGGUCAAGGUCAAAAAAUGUUGAUUCAGUUGCAUAGGUCUUUCCAAUAUCUAUCAGCAUAUGAAAUUUGAUAAAAAUAUCUUGGAUAGUUGCUUUGAAACUGAGCUUUGGACAGAGCUAAAAGCAAAGCGCGACAGAAAGACAGACGGAAGGAUGGAAGGACGGAAGACGGACAUAACAAACACUAUAUGCCUCGGCCAUAUUCAUGGCGGGGCUUAAAAACUUGAAUCUACACUAUAUGAGGAUGUUUCCAUAUCAAAAUGACUAACAAGCAAAUUCAAAGGAUUGUGGUCCCCUGCUUUCCAUGUCUUAGUGGAUGGGAUGCCAUUAAUUAUGGCAUAUUGUUUCAAAUAUGCAUGCCCUAUCAUAUGUCAUUCAAAAUUAAUCACCAAAGUUAAAACUUUUGAAAAUUAGGUAAAACAUCAAGGUCAAGGAGUAAAAAAUCAUACCAUGCUCGGAAAUCUUGUUACAGGUAAUGUAUAGGUCAAAUAUCUUAAUCAUUCUUAAAAUAUUUAUGUCAUCAUUUCUGAUUCAAGGGAGAACUAGAGAUAUGACCAGAAGUAUAUCUGUUGAGUAAUAAACAUGUACAUGUAUAUUGCGUUUUUUAAGUCAUUUGUUUGUUUGCCGUUAAAUGUCCCUCUCGGGAAUUUUUCACUCAUAUGGAGACACCACCGCUAAAAAAUAAUGAAGACGUACAAGUCGGAUUUGAGGAUAACAUUCAUUUUAGGAGUUUUCAACAAUUAAGACGUAAAGAGAUAACUCCUUCCCCUCGCCCCUUUCCCUUCCCAGAACCCUGUUUGUUCAUGUAUGCAAACUAAUACUUUGUUUUGACAUAAAAAAAUGUGAAUAUAUACAAAUAGUUUAAUGGUCCAUUUCUUUGAAUGAUUUUCAUUCCUAAUUCUAGGAGGGUACAUAGGUUGACUCAAAUUCAUGAAUGAAAUGUCAAGCAAUCUUAUCAUUGAUGCACUUUUAUUUAAUUUGAUGUAGUCAUAUUGUGAACAUUUCCAGUUCAUUAAGAGAGUGGGGAUGACCUCCAGGGGUUCAUUACCUUAAACCAUUAGAUGUACAUAACAUAAUAACACAAGAAACAAAAUUAUGCAUAGUCAAAUGGAAAAUUUUUCUACUAUUUUGGAGUCACAUGAUCAUUUGUCACUUCAGGGACAGGGAGCGGCUAGGGAGAUUGGACCCCCCCCCCCCCCUGGAAUUUGCAGAGUUAUAUAAAUAGGACUACAUACUGAUUUACAGAAGCAAAUAAAAAUGACUUUGGAUGCCCUUCCCCCUUUAAAAUCAUGGACCCCACCAUAAUUGUUUUUAUUUUGUUUGUUUGUUUGUUUGUUUUUUUUGCUCCUCGGGAAAUUCUGGGCUGGAAUUUUUUUUGACCGAGGUGUGGACACCCCCCCCCCCCCCCGGAAAAAAAAAUCAUGGAUCUGUGCCUGUUACAGAAUGUAGUGUCGACAACGGGAGAUAACUCUUCAGAAUGUGAAAUUCGUCUAUUGUGGCAUCCGAUCAUCUUAAGUUUGAUCCUUUUCAAACUUUAACCCAGCCAUUUUCAUUUCAGUUUAUUUUACCCUAAUCUAUACUUAAACUUGUACUUACCGACUGUCAUAGGUCCUGUCAACUUCAUUAAAUAUAAUCCAAUUAAAACACAAAAUGAAUUAAUUUCUACUGAUAUACAUGCAAUGAUGUGAACACCACACUGCACCAUGUGCAAUCUAAAAUGAUAAUGGUAAAACUAGUACUAAUACUAGUAUGGUGACGCAAGCCCAAUGUGAUGUAGAAAUUUUCAAAAAGGUGUUCACAUACAUAUACAGUACAAGGACAAAUUUUAAAUUAUCAUAACAAACGAUGUUUUAACAUAACUUUGCCAUCUAGGCCUAUUACCAAAAACAGGCAAAUUGUGUGUGUGUGUGUGUGAGGGUGUGUGUGAGGGUGUGUGUGUGUGUGUUGGGGGGGGGGGGGGUGACAAAAUUGAUUGGGUAUGGCUUUUCAAGGAGGUUUUUGCCUAAUCAAAUACUUAAAAAAAUUGCACAUUUUGAUAAAUUCAUCAAAAACGCUUUGUACUAAAAUAAUAUUAUUUGUUGUUGAGAAAAUAAAUUUAAAAAGUUCCAAUUAUGGGCCAAAAAUUUAUAUCCCCCCUUUUAUCAAAACCUAAUUUACAUCAUUAAUUAAAUUCUGUUAUUUCAGACUGGUAAUGAAUUAAGUAAAGGAAAUACCUAUAAGAGGCUCAUGGGUCACAUGGUCACCUGGGCAUUUUAUGCUCGAUUUGACGAAUACAUGUACUGUGUAAAUUAUAGAAUUAUUUGGACUUUUUCCUUGAAUAAAGUGUUUGGAGUUCAUCUGGAUGAAACACACAUUUACAAGUUUCGUGAUAUUCUUCUGGAAUAUCUGGGCAACCCAAAGUAUUUGUAGCGUGCGGAUGCGUGAACUGAACAAGUCAAGAACUCUAUUGAAAGAUUAUAAAUUUAUUUCACGGGACACAGAAAGAAAGCAAUACUGUCCAAUAUUCACAAAAUCUCUGGUGUUUCAUAAAUUAAUAAAAACCUCUAUAACUGGAGUCUUAUCCAGUAAUAAUAA
Long non-coding RNA from Saccostrea echinata, 3999 nucleotides. RefSeq lists it as uncharacterized. NCBI's taxonomy places the organism in Eukaryota, Metazoa, Mollusca, Bivalvia, Ostreida, Ostreidae. The transcript is spliced from 3 exons. The record is from RefSeq and is a predicted model, not a curated record.